Molecule: long non-coding RNA, 275 nt
Filed under: Ananas comosus (pineapple)
Lineage: Eukaryota; Viridiplantae; Streptophyta; Magnoliopsida; Poales; Bromeliaceae
Description: long non-coding RNA (ACOM_LNC028333)
Source: RNAcentral
UUAAAUAAUAACUAGCAACGCUUUAAAGUGUUGACAAGAAUAUUCCCGACGGUUGUAAAAUUGUCGAGCAAAGAGUCAAUUAGUAAAUACGUCGGGAUAAAUAUAUUGAUACUUUAAUUUAGCAUUGGAGAAUUUUUAUCAAUAUUUGAUAAAAAUAUAUUUAUUGACGAGACAUAAUCAAGUGUCAACACAUGCCAAAUAUUAAAGACACUACAAUAAAGCAUCGUCUAAAAAGUAUCGUCUAAAACAUAUUUGUUGUAUUGUUGAGGGAGUUC